UCCCUGGUCGUCUAGUGGUUAGUACUUAGCACUGUCACUGCUAGGGCCUGAGUUCAAUUCCUAGUUGGGGAA
Molecule: transfer RNA, 72 nt
Filed under: Bos taurus (domestic cattle)
Lineage: Eukaryota; Metazoa; Chordata; Mammalia; Artiodactyla; Bovidae
Also listed under: 2 other names
Rfam family: tRNA
About the family: Transfer RNA (tRNA) molecules are approximately 80 nucleotides in length. Their secondary structure includes four short double-helical elements and three loops (D, anti-codon, and T loops). Further hydrogen bonds mediate the characteristic L-shaped molecular structure. tRNAs have two regions of fundamental functional importance: the anti-codon, which is responsible for specific mRNA codon recognition, and the 3' end, to which the tRNAs corresponding amino acid is attached (by aminoacyl-tRNA synthetases). tRNAs cope with the degeneracy of the genetic code in two manners: having more than one tRNA (with a specific anti-codon) for a particular amino acid; and 'wobble' base-pairing, i.e. permitting non-standard base-pairing at the 3rd anti-codon position.
Source: Rfam by way of RNAcentral